Non-coding RNA from Aegilops tauschii subsp. strangulata, 1297 nucleotides. The record is from RefSeq and is a predicted model, not a curated record. Lineage: Eukaryota; Viridiplantae; Streptophyta; Magnoliopsida; Poales; Poaceae.
AGUGGGUAGUAACAUAAGUAUGGUGUCAUGCAAAACUUCAUUUAUUAGGUUAUAGACCCAUAUUGCAUUGGGACAUGUGAUGUUACGGUAACUAGCUAAGUUACUGAAACUAUCUCUCUCCUCAUUAACUCAUUGCCAUAUAAGCAAAUUUGCUGAGUUGGACUCGAUGUUACUACUGAAGUUACUCCCACCGUGGCUAGUCUGAGAGCACGCUAUUAUUAUUUCCCUAGGAUGGAGGUAUUAUGGCUGGUCAAAAGAUCACUGUAGUAUGGUCUUGUGAUGGAAUACUUAUUAAUUGUGUAUGUAAUUUGGAAGCCAAUAAAUGCAAUAGUCUUGUUAAGGAUAUUAAUUAAUUUCACCCGCAAAAAAAGGAUAUUGAUUAAUUUCUUAUGUAAUUUUUGGGAGACAGCAGUAAAUGCCAUAAUCUUGUUACGGAAUGCAAAAUAAUUUUUGUAUGUAAUUUUUGGGAGCCAGCAGUAAAUGCCAUAAUCUUGUUAUGGAAAACUAAUUAAUAACUUUGUAUGUAUUUUUUGGGAACCAAUAAAUGGCAUAAUGCUGUCAUGGAAAACUAAUAAAUUUCGUAGUAAUGUUUAGGAGCCAAUAACUGAUAUAAUCCUGUCACGGGAUACUAGUAAUUAAUUUUGUAUGGUAUAUUUUGGAGCGAAUAAAUCGACAUCCAGAGGAUAUUCCAUGAUGUGCCUAUUACUGGAGGAUCUUAAUUAAUUACCGCGAACCAUACAAAGGAAACACUAAUGCAGGAAGUAAUAAUAAUAAUAAUAAUAAUAAUAAUAAUAAUAAUAAUAAUAAAACGGCAAAAUAUGGUACUCCAAGGCGCCUCUAUAUCUAUAUAAACAGCAGCGGAAGGAUCCAACUAAACACCACAAGCACGACCAAAUAUACAAUAGUAGAAGGAAUCAAGGAAAUAGUAAAAAACUUCGUUAUGGCUCUAAUCAACUUAAGGUUUGUGUGCUUGAUGGCUCUUUUGCUGAUUUCGACCACUUGCUUGACGAGUCAAGUAUCAGGGAGAAACAACAUAGGUCUGCAAAACGGCAUAUGCGGCAAUCGGGAACCCUACCAAGUCAAUUGUACGCAACAAGGCUGUGUUACUGCCUGCAAAAAAGCGGGCUGCGGAGGUGGGAUUUGCCAUAAAGAUGGUAGUUGCAACUGCCUCUAGAUGAGGCUGCCAAGUCCUCUCUAAUUUGUAGUAAGAAAAUGAUCCAGAAUAAGCUUAGGAAAAUAAGAGCAUUAUGAGUUUUCUUCAGUUCCUGGAAUAAGUGAAAUAUAUGCUGAUUCUUUA